Molecule: ribosomal RNA, 276 nt
Filed under: Triticum aestivum (bread wheat)
Lineage: Eukaryota; Viridiplantae; Streptophyta; Magnoliopsida; Poales; Poaceae
Description: partial small subunit ribosomal RNA
Source: RNAcentral
UUUUUUAUGUAGUUUGUGCAUAGAGGGGUUACUCUCACAAAGAAUAAUUUGGGAAAACGAAGAUGGCAAGGGAAUAGACGAUGUUGUUUCUAUGGUCAAGAUGAAACAAUUCAUCAUUUGUUUAUUUCCUGUCUGUUUCACACUUUCCUAUGGCGUACAAUUCAUGUGACUUUUAACCUGCUUCCACCUACUAGUAUAGCAAAUUUCUUUGGAAACUGGUUGGGAGUUAAGCCAAAUAUCCAGGACGGAGUAUGUGCUUCACUUCGAGCUUUAUGA